CCUACGGGAGGCAGCAGUGGGGAAUAUUGGACAAUGGGCGAAAGCCUGAUCCAGCAAUGCCGCGUGAGUGAUGAAGGCCUUCGGGUCGUAAAGCUCUUUUACCAGGGAUGAUAAUGACAGUACCUGGAGAAUAAGCUCCGGCUAACUCCGUGCCAGCAGCCGCGGUAAUACGGAGGGAGCUAGCGUUGUUCGGAAUUACUGGGCGUAAAGAGUACGUAGGCGGUUAUUCAAGUCAGAGGUGAAAGCCCGGGGCUCAACCCCGGAACUGCCUUUGAAACUAGAUAACUAGAGUCUUGGAGAGGUUAGUGGAAUUCCGAGUGUAGAGGUGAAAUUCGUAGAUAUUCGGAAGAACACCAGUGGCGAAGGCGACUAACUGGACAAGUACUGACGCUGAGGUACGAAAGCGUGGGGAGCAAACAGGAUUAGAUACCCUGGUAGUCCACGCCGUAAACGAUGAUAACUAGUUGUUCGGUCACUUGGUGACUGAGUGACGCAGCUAACGCAUUAAGUUAUCCGCCUGGGGAUACGGUCGCAGNUUAAAACUCAAAGGAAUUGACGG
Molecule: ribosomal RNA, 559 nt
Filed under: uncultured bacterium
Lineage: Bacteria
Description: bacterial SSU rRNA
Rfam family: Bacterial small subunit ribosomal RNA
Source: RNAcentral